UUAAUUAUUAUAAGUAAUUUAAUCAAAUUUAAUGAAUACUAGAGCAAGAUAUGAGUCAGGCAAAAGGUCCACUCGCUACUGGACGAAUAAAAUAAAUCGCAAGCCGAGUGAAUAAAAAACGCAAGCCAAGGUCGUCGAAUCCUCGGGCGAUGACGAUCCAUGAGCGUUGCUGUUUUAAGAAGACCACCGGGAAGAAUCGGUUCAAAGGCGGUGGCCUUCGUGAUGCUUCAGUGGAGCGAAUGAGCAUUAGGCAAUCGAAUCCGCCCGUAAAUUGCGUCGCGGAGUGAAGAACAAUCUUGCGUCAAUGUCGAUCAACGGAAGAGGAAUCAUUCAAUUUUGCAACGGACGAUUAAUAGCCGAUCGACGGCGACGCCAACGCCGAUGCCGAUAGUCGAUGGCGCCGACACGCUCCUCCUGCGAUCGGAUCGCAAGAACAUUCUUCGGUUUGUAUCGCCUAUAAGCAGAUAAGCGGAACGCCGACGGGUUCCGCAUGAAUCUGCGCAACAGGAAAUUCAAGACGUAUGUCACUAGAAGAGAAGAUGACUCAAGAUGACGAUGAUUUUUUAAUAAGACCAAUUUGCACUCUGAAAAAAUGAUGAGCGAUCUUGCGGUGUUAAGGAAUACUCAUUAAUCUUCUAUCGAGUUGCGAUAAUAAAUCGUGACGAACGUCUCUCGCAAGACAUCCAGCUAAGAUUUUUGCAAGAUAAUAUAUCUACUUAUCAAUAUUUCGCCAUAUUAUGUAAAAAUAUCAUACUUCGAAUAAAUGAAUAUUAUUGGAUGUUAAGAUAUUUUUUUUACAUGUCAAUUGGUUCAAGUUAUAAAAACACGUUCGUGCCGAUAAUAUUUAAUAGCACUAAAUAAAUCGGAAUGAAAAUUUUUAGUACUUCGUUAACGUUUACUCUCAGACUUAUAAUAUAUCUCGAUUUCUCGGUGAAAAUCAUUAUGAAUUAUUGGUCUGCGAGAUGCCAUAGGUAUAUAGGCUUCGGCGGUUCGACAACGACAGAUAAAUCUAAGCGUCGUGGCACCUUUAUCGCCUUCGCCGAUUUAGCAUGACGAGAUGAAGCGGCAUUACGCUAUUGGUCGCGGCCACACGCAGAGAUAACCCAUUCCCGGCUUUAAUCCAUCACGUUCGUUCAGAUACUCCGAAACGAACUUUAAUCCUGCGCUGUUACGUUUUAACUGGCUAUUCGACUGACUUUUAUGGUUUUCUCGAACAGUUCCGCAUUUCGGUACUCUCCCCGUAAUAUUCUCCGGCCGAA
Long non-coding RNA from Pogonomyrmex barbatus (red harvester ant), 1259 nucleotides. RefSeq lists it as uncharacterized. The record is from RefSeq and is a predicted model, not a curated record. Lineage: Eukaryota; Metazoa; Arthropoda; Insecta; Hymenoptera; Formicidae.